This 144-nucleotide unclassified non-coding RNA is filed under the name soil metagenome. RNAcentral describes it as "partial internal transcribed spacer 1". The record is from RNAcentral.
UAAUAAGUGUUUUAUGGCACUUUUUAAAUCCAUAUCCACCUUGUGUGCAAUGUCAGUCGAUCUUCUUCAUGGAGAUCGACCAAACAUCAACCUUUAUUUUUUAACUCUUUGUCUGAAAAAUAUUAUGAAUAAACAAUUCAAAAU